This 586-nucleotide ribosomal RNA is filed under the name uncultured bacterium. RNAcentral's name for it is "bacterial SSU rRNA". It matches the Rfam family "Bacterial small subunit ribosomal RNA", at positions 741 to 1330 of the family's 1533-position model. The record is from RNAcentral.
UGACACUGAGGAGCGAAAGCGUGGGGAGCGAACAGGAUUAGAUACCCUGGUAGUCCACGCCGUAAACGGUGGGCGCUAGUUGUGCGAACCUUCCACGGUUUGUGCGACGCAGCUAACGCAUUAAGCGCCCCGCCUGGGGAGUACGAUCGCAAGAUUAAAACUCAAAGGAAUUGACGGGGCCCCGCACAAGCAGCGGAGCAUGCGGCUUAAUUCGACGCAACGCGAAGAACCUUACCAAGGCUUGACAUAUACAGGAAUAUGGCAGAGAUGUCAUAGCCGCAAGGUCUGUAUACAGGUGGUGCAUGGUUGUCGUCAGCUCGUGUCGUGAGAUGUUGGGUUAAGUCCCGCAACGAGCGCAACCCUCGUUCUGUGUUGCCAGCAUUUAGUUGGGGACUCACAGGAGACUGCCGGGGUUAACUCGGAGGAAGGUGGGGAUGACGUCAAAUCAUCAUGCCCCUUAUGUCUUGGGCUGCACGCAUGCUACAAUGGCUGGUACAAACGGCUGCGAUACCGCAAGGUGGAGCGAAUCCGAUAAAGCCAGUCUCAGUUCGGAUUGGGGUCUGCAACUCGACCCCAUGAAGUCGGA